GUCAUACAUACCAAUACACAGCCUUGCCCACUUCCAACCCCAGUUUGACCAACUUUGUCCAAUCAAAUUCACACCUGAUCCUCCCACAUACACUGGUCUCCAACAACAAGCCGUUGCCUUCUGGGAGUAACAAACAUGUUGGCAUGGCUUUCUUGACGAGCCACAACACUCGUUUAAGUCUCCACCCCACAAAGGUUAUCAAAGAGAAGAAGAACACAAACAAUUAAUUUCUAUCAUAAAUGUUCGCAAAAGACCAACAUCAUCCACGCAUAUUUGAGAAAAAUGAUCUCAACGUUUCAAUAG
RNAcentral lists this long non-coding RNA (303 nucleotides) under Elaeis guineensis (African oil palm). RNAcentral describes it as "long non-coding RNA (EGUI_LNC000766)". Lineage: Eukaryota; Viridiplantae; Streptophyta; Magnoliopsida; Arecales; Arecaceae. The record is from RNAcentral.